GACUUGAUGGAGUGCUUGCACUCUGAUGGUUAGCGGCGGACGGGUGAGUAACACGUAGGUAACCUGCCCAUAAGACUGGGAUAACCCACGGAAACGUGAGCUAAUACCAGAUAGGCAUUUUCCUCGCAUGAGGGGAAUGAGAAAGGCGGAGCAAUCUGUCACUUAUGGAUGGACCUGCGGCGCAUUAGCUAGUUGGUGAGGUAACGGCUCACCAAGGCGACGAUGCGUAGCCGACCUGAGAGGGUGAUCGGCCACACUGGGACUGAGACACGGCCCAG
This 278-nucleotide ribosomal RNA is filed under the name Paenibacillus alvei. RNAcentral's name for it is "partial 16S rRNA". It matches the Rfam family "Bacterial small subunit ribosomal RNA", at positions 68 to 334 of the family's 1533-position model. The record is from RNAcentral. Lineage: Bacteria; Bacillati; Bacillota; Bacilli; Caryophanales; Paenibacillaceae.